This 124-nucleotide ribosomal RNA is filed under the name Chinchilla lanigera (long-tailed chinchilla). Lineage: Eukaryota; Metazoa; Chordata; Mammalia; Rodentia; Chinchillidae. The record is from RNAcentral.
GUCUAUGGCCAUACCAACCUGAAACUGCCCGAUCUCAUCUGAUCUCAGAAGCUAAGCAGGGUUGGGCCUGUUAGUACUUGGAUGGGAUAAUUCAUCUGCUCCUGUUAAGUCACUGGACUGGACU